Molecule: ribosomal RNA, 715 nt
Filed under: uncultured Bacteroidales bacterium
Lineage: Bacteria; Pseudomonadati; Bacteroidota; Bacteroidia; Bacteroidales
Description: bacterial SSU rRNA
Rfam family: Bacterial small subunit ribosomal RNA
Source: RNAcentral
GAUGAACGCUAGCUACAGGCUUAACACAUGCAAGUCGAGGGGCAGCAUUUCAGUUUGCUUGCAAACUGGAGAUGGCGACCGGCGCACGGGUGAGUAACACGUAUCCAACCUGCCGAUAACUCGGGGAUAGCCUUUCGAAAGAAAGAUUAAUACCCGAUGGUAUAAUUAGACCGCAUGGUCUUGUUAUUAAAGAAUUUCGGUUAUCGAUGGGGAUGCGUUCCAUUAGGCAGUUGGUGAGGUAACGGCUCACCAAACCUUCGAUGGAUAGGGGUUCUGAGAGGAAGGUCCCCCACAUUGGAACUGAGACACGGUCCAAACUCCUACGGGAGGCAGCAGUGAGGAAUAUUGGUCAAUGGACGCGAGUCUGAACCAGCCAAGUAGCGUGAAGGAUGACUGCCCUAUGGGUUGUAAACUUCUUUUAUAUGGGAAUAAAGUGGUCCACGUGUGGACUUUUGUAUGUACCAUAUGAAUAAGGAUCGGCUAACUCCGUGCCAGCAGCCGCGGUAAUACGGAGGAUCCGAGCGUUAUCCGGAUUUAUUGGGUUUAAAGGGAGCGUAGGCGGAUUGUUAAGUCAGUUGUGAAAGUUUGCGGCUCAACCGUAAAAUUGCAGUUGAUACUGGCAGUCUUGAGUGCAGUAGAGGUGGGCGGAAUUCGUGGUGUAGCGGUGAAAUGCUUAGAUAUCACGAAGAACUCCGAUUGCGAAGGCAGCUCACUG